Molecule: transfer RNA, 72 nt
Filed under: Perkinsus olseni
Lineage: Eukaryota; Perkinsozoa; Perkinsida; Perkinsidae
Description: tRNA-Pro
Rfam family: tRNA
About the family: Transfer RNA (tRNA) molecules are approximately 80 nucleotides in length. Their secondary structure includes four short double-helical elements and three loops (D, anti-codon, and T loops).
Source: RNAcentral
GGCUGUGUGGUCUAGUGGUAUGAUUCUUGCUUAGGGUGCAAGAGGUACCAAGUUCAAUUCUCCGCACAGCUC